RNAcentral lists this ribosomal RNA (254 nucleotides) under uncultured bacterium. RNAcentral's name for it is "partial 16S ribosomal RNA". It matches the Rfam family "Bacterial small subunit ribosomal RNA", at positions 524 to 776 of the family's 1533-position model. The record is from RNAcentral.
UACGGGGGGAGCAAGCGUUGUUCGGAUUUACUGGGCGUAAAGGGCGCGUAGGCGGUCAGCACAAGUCAGUUGUGAAAUCUCCGGGCUUAACUCGGAAAGGUCAACUGAUACUGUCGUGCUAGAGUGCGGAAGGGGCUACUGGAAUUCUCGGUGUAGCGGUGAAAUGCGUAGAUAUCGAGAGGAACACCUGCGGCGAAGGCGGGUAGCUGGGCCGACACUGACGCUGAUGCGCGAAAGCCAGGGGAGCGAACGGG